RNAcentral lists this ribosomal RNA (580 nucleotides) under Escherichia coli. Its description in RNAcentral is "partial 23S ribosomal RNA". It matches the Rfam family "Bacterial large subunit ribosomal RNA", at positions 2351 to 2925 of the family's 2925-position model. Lineage: Bacteria; Pseudomonadati; Pseudomonadota; Gammaproteobacteria; Enterobacterales; Enterobacteriaceae. The record is from RNAcentral.
GCAAUGGCAUAAGCCAGCUUGACUGCGAGCGUGACGGCGCGAGCAGGUGCGAAAGCAGGUCAUAGUGAUCCGGUGGUUCUGAAUGGAAGGGCCAUCGCUCAACGGAUAAAAGGUACUCCGGGGAUAACAGGCUGAUACCGCCCAAGAGUUCAUAUCGACGGCGGUGUUUGGCACCUCGAUGUCGGCUCAUCACAUCCUGGGGCUGAAGUAGGUCCCAAGGGUAUGGCUGUUCGCCAUUUAAAGUGGUACGCGAGCUGGGUUUAGAACGUCGUGAGACAGUUCGGUCCCUAUCUGCCGUGGGCGCUGGAGAAUUGAGGGGGGCUGCUCCUAGUACGAGAGGACCGGAGUGGACGCAUCACUGGUGUUCGGGUUGUCAUGCCAAUGGCACUGCCCGGUAGCUAAAUGCGGAAGAGAUAAGUGCUGAAAGCAUCUAAGCACGAAACUUGCCCCGAGAUGAGUUCUCCCUGACUCCUUGAGAGUCCUGAAGGAACGUUGAAGACGACGACGUUGAUAGGCCGGGUGUGUAAGCGCAGCGAUGCGUUGAGCUAACCGGUACUAAUGAACCGUGAGGCUUAACCUU